GAGUGCCAGCCGCUGAGGCUGGCUUUUCCCCAGUGUAAAAAGCUGGGGGAAUAAGCGGGGGGCAAGUUCUGGUGUCAGCCGCCGCGGUAAUACCAGCUCCGCGAGUGGUCGGGGCGUUUAUUGGGCCUAAAGCGUCCGUAGCCGGCCCAGUAAGUUCCUCCUUAAAUCCCAUGGCUCAACCAUGGGGCUGGGAGGAAUACUACUGGGCUAGGGGGCGGGAGAGGCCGAGGGUAUUCCCGGGGUAGGGGCGAAAUCCUAUAAUCCCGGGAAGACCACCAAUGGCGCAGGCACUCGGCCAGAACGCGCCCGACGGUGAGGGACGAAAGCCAGGGGAGCAAAAGGGAUUAGAGACCCCUGUAGUCCUGGCUGUAAACGAUGCGGGCUAGGUGUUGGCUGAGCUUCGGGCUCAGCCAGUGCCGCAGGGAAGCCGUUAAGCCCGCCGCCUGGGGAGUACGGCCGCAAGGCUGAAACUUAAAGGAAUUGGCGGGGGAGCACCACAAGGGGUGGAGGCUGCGGUUCAAUUGGAGUCAACCCCGGGAACCUUACCAGGGGCGACAGCAGGAUGAGGGCCAGGCUAACGACCUUGCCCGACGCGCUGAGAGGAGGUGCAUGGCCGUCGCCAGCUCGUGCCGUGAGGCGUCCGGUUAAGUCCGGUAACGAGCGAGACCCUCGUCUCCAGUUGCGACCAGGACCCAUUGGGUCCUGGGCACACUGGAGAGACUGCCAGCGCUAAGCUGGAGGAAGGAGGGGGCUACGGCAGGUCAGUAUGCCCCGAAACCCCUGGGCUACACGCGGCCUGCAAUGGUGGGGACAAUGGGUUCCGAACCCGAAAGGGGGAGGUAAUCCCAUAAAACCCCACCUCAGUUGGGAUCGAGGGCUGCAACUCGCCCUCGUGAACGUGGAAUCCCUAGUA
This 913-nucleotide ribosomal RNA is filed under the name uncultured crenarchaeote. RNAcentral's name for it is "bacterial SSU rRNA". It matches the Rfam family "Archaeal small subunit ribosomal RNA", at positions 383 to 1296 of the family's 1478-position model. The record is from RNAcentral. Lineage: Archaea; Thermoproteati; Thermoproteota.